UCUGACACACUGAGAAACUGAAAAGCAUCACCUGAGUUCAUUGGUUCCUUGGUUCAAGGUUUGUUGUAUUGGAGCAUACAUUUACAUAAAAUUAGAAUGGCAAUUCCAUACACAACUCACGAGCUACUUGUAGCAAUUGUUCAGUUCUUAAUUAUAUUAAUAUUAUCCGAUCAUAUUUCAGAGCGUUAGUUCUGCAGGCGAGGUGCUUGAGACAAGGAAAAGUAGGAAGUCAAAACCAUGAUGAAUGUUGUCAUCUUGAAACAUCCCCAAGUUAAAAACAUUUUGAGGGGUUAGCCUUUUUGCCUUUGUAUCAAUUUUUAAUUGUUUCUUAUUGAGACUUGUUUGGUAUAACAACAACCUGGUGAUGUCUUGAUGAAUUGAAAAUUAGUUGUGCGGAGCCUGCUUGGGUAGGGUGAACAAAGUGGCUUUGUUUAUGGCCCUUUCCACCCUGCUGUUGCAAGGAAACAUGAACUUGAUGGCAGCAAUAAACCUGGGCAAAGGGAGAAGGCACAUGACUGGAGAGCCUUUCUUCUUUAUUUUGACCAGUCCCAGAAACAAGGUGGGUUCAGUACUUCAAUCCUUUUUUGUUCAUUCGGACAAAACUAUAAUGUUUCUACUUGAGUAUAGGAAGUAUGUGUAUAGCAUGUCUUUCUAGCUGUGGUUUUAUAUAAUUAGGCUUAAGCUAAUAGUGGCAUGUGGGGAUGUAUUUUAUUCUUUAUUGGAACGUGGUGGGUUUUCUGCAGUGGUGAUGUUUUCCUUUGGUUUGAUAGCUACAAAUUUUAAUACAUAAUCCUUGGUGCUCUGCAUGAGUUUCAUUCAAGCUGAGCUGGAAGAGGAGGUAGAUGUUCUAUCUGAGAUAGAGGAGGAAAAACUUGAAUCUGAAUUAGACGCAGAAGAAGGGAGUUCUGAGGUUGCAAAGCUUCGCCAUGGUGUGGAGCGGUACGCACAUGAGGAUUCCCAAUAAUUGGAUUUGAGAAGGAGGCCAUGAAAUACAAGAACUAAUAUCUGAAUGGCAAGGUCCUAAGAUAUGGUUUCUCGCAAUCAUCUACUUCAUUCUCGAAUGCCCCCAGUGCCUACUACCAUUGGUACCGGCCACUAUACCGUGCAAUGAGAUUGCAAGAACGGGACUGCUAAGCAAGCCUGGAUCAAUCUCAAUCAACGGGAACAGAGACGUCGGUGACUAAAUUUUUUGGGUGAAGCCAUGAUGCUGGAAGGGAAGUCCUACCUUGUGUCGUGCUCCCUGUUGAGCUCCUGCGAGACAGAGACGCAGUGGGUGUACCUCGCCCACGAGGUCCUCGGCGGCAAGCGCCUGGCGGUGACUAUGUACUUAGGGGUGAUCAUGGUCAGGGAUGAGUCAAUUCAUUGAAGACAUCAUGAGAAUGCUAUGGUGUUGCCCAGUUUCAUUUAAGUCCAAGAAGCUGGUGAAGAUGGAGAGUAUCAAUGGGACAUUGGAGAAGAUGGCAAACUAACCACCGAAAGUUGUGUCAACUACAUCAGAUUUGGAAGUCUGGGUGGGGCAUGGAGAUCAGAGCCAACAUGUCUCUUCACCUGCCAGUUCUCAUAUGAAGAGUGGCUGGAGUAUGAAUGCAAAACGCGAGGCAUUGAGUGCAUCCGUGCCAUGGGAAAGUAGGAGGACAAAUGGCAGUUCGAGUAGUGCUGCUCGUUUAGCUGAGAUUGAUUGAUGUGAUGAUGUUGCUUAUGGCAGGGCACAAACCACAAAUACACACAAACCAGAUGAGAAUGCCUACCAUUUGUUUCUGUAAAAAGUUGUAGAAUUCACAACACAGGGAGAAGAAAAAUCACUUACAUAUGCCCAAACUUGGUGCCCUGCUCAAUUUGCAGAUCAUACACAAAAGUCAUGAUACUGCAGAGUACGCUGAAGGCUGCGCGGUUUCUCCCCUGUUCGUGCCCAUCUUUCCCCCUUGUUAAUAAUUUCUAUUUAGAAUCAUUAAUCUAGGACACUUGUAAUGCACAUGAUGUUUUCCUUAUGUAUUAAUUCCUUCACUUGUAAAGCACAUGAUGUUUUCCUUAUAUAUUAAUUUCUUAACUUUUAAAGCA
This is a long non-coding RNA of Zea mays, 2058 nucleotides long. RefSeq lists it as uncharacterized. The record is from RefSeq and is a predicted model, not a curated record. NCBI's taxonomy places the organism in Eukaryota, Viridiplantae, Streptophyta, Magnoliopsida, Poales, Poaceae. The transcript is spliced from 4 exons.